Molecule: ribosomal RNA, 407 nt
Filed under: Scalibregma inflatum
Lineage: Eukaryota; Metazoa; Annelida; Polychaeta; Scalibregmatidae
Description: SSU rRNA
Rfam family: Eukaryotic small subunit ribosomal RNA
Source: RNAcentral
UGGUGCCAGCAGCCGCGGUAAUUCCAGCUCCAAUAGCGUAUAUUAAAGUUGUUGCAGUUAAAAAGCUCGUAGUUGGAUCUCGGGCGCCGGCCGGCGGUCCACCCUCACCGGGUGGUACUGCCGCGCUCCGGGCCUACCAUCCGAUCGCGGCCGGUUUGUGCUCUUGGUUGAGUGCCCGGUCUGGUCGGAACGUUUACUUUGAAAAAAUUAGAGUGUUCAAAGCAGGCUCGACGGCCUGAAUAAUGGUGCAUGGAAUAAUGGAAUAGGACCUCGGUUCUAUUUUGUUGGUUUUCGGAACUGGAGGUAAUGAUUAAGAGGGACAGACGGGGGCAUUCGUAUUACGGUGUUAGAGGUGAAAUUCUUGGAUCGCCGUAAGACGAACUACUGCGAAAGCAUUUGCCAAGAAU